Molecule: long non-coding RNA, 1057 nt
Filed under: Apteryx rowi (Okarito brown kiwi)
Lineage: Eukaryota; Metazoa; Chordata; Aves; Apterygiformes; Apterygidae
Description: lncRNA (ENSARWG00000012011.1)
Source: RNAcentral
GGGAUUUCCUGGGCUGUCCCCGCGAUUGCAGAAGUGGGCAUGUGGCAACCCAGGCUGAGUGUGAAACUGAUGUGUAGGAGAAGCUGGAAGGUGCCCGCAGCCCAGCUCUCCUGGGGUUUUACACAUGAGGAACUCUCUUCUCUGAAAAUGUCACUGUGAACACACUUGCUCAUUUUCCUUGAAAUUUCUGAGAAAUUCCUCAGCCUACUGAAGUCCUGAUGAUGGUUACGCAGUUGUUUUGCUGAGCUACUGCCUGAGAAGCAUGACUGAGCAGUACCUGCAGGAUGGGCAGCCGCUGACAACAACAACAUCUCGUGGGAGGGAACAAUAACUUGGAAAGGGCCAUAAGUUUUCUCAGGGGCCUUGCUAAUCCCUGCGAUGUCAGUGAAUGAAGAGAGUCAUCAUCCCUUUAACAACCUUAAUAACAAUUUGUGCCUUGUCAUGGUGACUUUCAGUAUUUAAUAAGGCAGGGCAUUAUUUGAGAUUACAGCCUUAGUCAAAAUGCAAUUGCUCCCACCAGCACAUUCUCUUCUUCGGAUCACUCAUUAAUGAAUAUUUAUUUUGUGAUUUACCUUCUGGAAAUAAUUCCAUUCAUGUUCACUUUUUUCAUUAUCAGUAAAGCAUAACUCWUUAAUGCUGUUAUUCAGAACGCACAACUGAGAUAUCGAGUGAUCUAGUCACUCGCUCCAAGCUGUGGCAUGGGUCAGUGACUCACUGGAAUGGCAGUUCUAACGGCAGGCAGUUUUUGUUUAGAUUUCAUUCCAGGAAAACCAAAGUAAGUAGUACAGGCUGGGAGAAAAGCUUCAAAACGAAUGAACUGGAACAAUCACUCCUAAACCAAUGCUAUUCAGAAUUUGGUUGAGUCUUAUGUUGAAUGACAAACAGUGAAUGCUGGAUCCUCUUUUCAUGUUCAAAAACAAAGUGAUAACCAGUAAAUGCAGAAGUCUGGGAAUGAAAAGGGCUAAAUUUUCAAGUGAUUGAAGCCUAAUUAGAAUAGGAGAAGGAAGUUCAGCCCCCAUGUGAUGUUCCUUCCCAUAUAGUCUUUGUCUUAAUGAAU